Non-coding RNA from Podarcis lilfordi (Lilford's wall lizard), 74 nucleotides. NCBI's taxonomy places the organism in Eukaryota, Metazoa, Chordata, Lepidosauria, Squamata, Lacertidae. The record is from the annotation of a GenBank genome assembly.
GCCUGGCGGGUCAGUCGGUAGAGCACCAGACUCUGCCAUCUCAGGGCCGUGAGUUUGAGCCUCACCGUUGGGCA